Long non-coding RNA from Amphiprion ocellaris (clown anemonefish), 1973 nucleotides. RefSeq lists it as uncharacterized. The record is from RefSeq and is a predicted model, not a curated record. The transcript has 2 exons. NCBI's taxonomy places the organism in Eukaryota, Metazoa, Chordata, Actinopteri, Pomacentridae.
UGGAGAAAGUUUUAAUUGUCAAUUAGCCUCUUAAAAACUAAAUAAUAAAUUGGAUUAGUCAAGAGGUUUAAAUUUCUUACUUUGUCAUAUUUUAAAUAUGACAAAAAAACAUAAAAAUAAAGUCUUGAGACAAUUUGACCUGUAAUUGGCAUUAUAUAAAUAAAAUUGAAUUAAAAUUGUAUGUAUCUUGUAAUGUUGGAGUAAUUCAGCCAUAUAUGAUAGAAAACACAUUUUCUUUGUCCAUUAAUCUGUCGUUUUCUCCAGUAAUACAUUUCUUGUUUUGGUUUAUAAAAUGUCAAGCCCAAAUAUAUUCAGUUUACUGUCAUAAAAACCAAAAAGAUUUACAUUUUUUCACUUUUUAUCUUAGUUUAGUCAGAAAGAUAGUUGAUAAUGUGUGAAUUGUUGCAGCUUGUGAGUCGUAAAAGGUUUUAAUCUUUGGGGCCGAGUGUCAAAAAACAUUUAGAAACCAACAUCAACAAAACACUCAACAAAGAUUUGAACAUCAUUGAAGGGAAAUCCAACUUUUGCAUGACAAUGUCUAAUUAAAGGACAUUUAUUUCCAACGUAAAUGUGUGAUAUUCAUCCUCUGGAGCUUUCUCUUCACAUCGUCUUCCACCUGGACUGGUUUGGUCAGGAGCAUGUGCAACAAAUAUUUGAAAAACUGCACUUUAACAUCAAUGAAUGACACUAAAGUUUAAUUUCUACAUAAAUGAGACUGAGUCUGGAUGUGCUGCUCUGUCAUUAACUCCUAAGUUUAGGGAAAGUUCAAACAAAAGAGGACAGUUCAGAUCAGACUUGAGAAUGAGCUUAUUUUGAACAAACAUCUCAGACUUUCUGAGCUUCAGCACCUCUAGCAAGAUAUUUUAACAACAAGCAACUCAAGAGAUCCAGAAGUUGGAGAGAGUUAGCUUUAGCUGAGCCAAAGAACAUGUGGGACGCUAACCUAGCAAACAUUUCAGACUUUUCUCUGUGAAUUCUGAGAAAUAAUUUCCAAUUUAAUGACAGAGCUACACAUUUUAACUCAGUCUCAUUAAAACAGACUCUAAUUCAGUGUCAUCCAUCCAUAUUAAAAUGCAGUUACCCAAAAUGUUUGUUGCAUGAGCUCCAACAAAACCUGUCCAGGUAGAAGGCCACUUUGACAAACAGGAAGUGGAAGAUUCCAAGCAGAUUUAUAGAAGGGGGAACCAGACUGUACUAAGUGUGGUCGAGUAUAGAGGGGUGUUUUGUGGGUUUUUAAGGCUGAUAAUGAUUAUUUGUGAGACAUUUGGAGUAGAUAUUCAUUUGCAGUAAAUGAAAGUAUUUAAAAUCUUGGAGUUUAACUUAGAAGAACACAAACUCUAACAGAAAACUUUGUUGAUACGUUUUUGUUUACAGAUGUUAAAGGAGUUUUAUUCGUGACGUAUAACCAAUCAAAUCACUCCAGAAGACAGAGCGACCACAGCUGCAUGCCUUCGUCCAUCCGGCCUCCGUUGACUCGUCCCGCCUGCCGUCUCUGGAGCUGAAGCUGGAUUGGAACAGACCAAAGUACAGUCCAAUCACGAUGCCAGCUGCCUCUCAAAAGGUUCCUUCAUCUGGAGGAACUUCUUCUGAGGGGAAGCUGAGCUGGUCCAGCAGAACUUUGGAGAUGUGUUCCAGUGGUUGGUGGACGUGUGGGGAGAUAGAGAGGGACCUUUGAAUUGUUCAGAAAGGAAAACAGGAAACCCACUGGUAGCUUUAGUUAGCCUAGGGUUUAGCCUGCUACUGCGGUGUGUUUUUGGGUUUUAAGAGGUGAACACGAAGAGUUUUUUUUUUCGUAUUGAUUAUCUUUUACUUUGUUCCUGGUUGGAAUGCCCAUCAAUGUCAACAUGAAGUUCACUUUUAGUUCUGUUUAUUUAUUUUUAUUUUACUAACACCCAUUUGUUUUUAACUCCCUCACAUGUUGUGUUGUUGUAAACUUACUCUUUCAAAUAAAUACUCAUCUAACCCUCUGGAAA